Molecule: ribosomal RNA, 445 nt
Filed under: Maruzza sp.
Lineage: Eukaryota; Metazoa; Arthropoda; Insecta; Hymenoptera; Scelionidae
Description: partial large subunit ribosomal RNA
Source: RNAcentral
GUACGUGAAACCGUUUAGGGGUAAACCUGAGAAACCCGAAAGAUCGAAUGAGGAGAUUCAUCGUACACGUGAAUUAGCUUACGUGCAUUACAUGAUGGGUCGGAUUUCGGUUCGAUUCCACGUUAUUGCGUGUAUGAGACUGAUUACGUUGGCGUGCACUUCUUCUCUAGUAGAACGUCGUGACCCGCUUGAUUUCGGUUUAAGGUACAAGGAUUGUUGACUGUGUACCAUAACAUUUCGGUGUAUGUGUAUCACAGACCCCUUGUUAUCCUGACCGAAUGUCAAACGGUAAACACAAGGUAUCGAGCCGCACUUGAAUGCGUUCAGACACGUUGCAAGCUUUGAUUAACUCCUGGAUGUUCGGACUUUGUGCCGUCCCUAGGAUUCAUCAGCUGCUGGUUGACGAUGUUCUCGGACUGGCUCAAAUUGCUAUACAGCGAUACCG